GAUUAAGUUAUUAAGGGCGCACGGUGGAUGCCUUGGCACUAGAAGCCGAUGAAGGACGUUACUAACGACGAUAUGCUUUGGGGAGCUGUAAGUAAGCUUUGAUCCAGAGAUUUCCGAAUGGGGAAACCCAGCAUGAGUUAUGUCAUGUUAUCGAUAUGUGAAUACAUAGCAUAUCAGAAGGCACACCCGGAGAACUGAAACAUCUUAGUACCCGGAGGAAGAGAAAGAAAAUUCGAUUCCCUUAGUAGCGGCGAGCGAAACGGGAAGAGCCCAAACCAACAAGCUUGCUUGUUGGGGUUGUAGGACACUCUAUACGGAGUUACAAAGGACGACAUUAGACGAAUCAUCUGGAAAGAUGAAUCAAAGAAGGUAAUAAUCCUGUAGUCGAAAAUGUUGUCUCUCUUGAGUGGAUCCUGAGUACGACGGAGCACGUGAAAUUCCGUCGGAAUCUGGGAGGACCAUCUCCUAAGGCUAAAUACUCUCUAGUGACCGAUAGUGAACCAGUACCGUGAGGGAAAGGUGAAAAGCACCCCGGAAGGGGAGUGAAAUAGAACCUGAAACCGUGUGCUUACAAGUAGUCAGAGCCCGUUAAUGGGUGAUGGCGUGCCUUUUGUAGAAUGAACCGGCGAGUUACGAUUUGAUGCAAGGUUAAGCAGUAAAUGUGGAGCCGUAGCGAAAGCGAGUCUGAAUAGGGCGUUUAGUAUUUGGUCGUAGACCCGAAACCAGGUGAUCUACCCUUGGUCAGGUUGAAGUUCAGGUAACACUGAAUGGAGGACCGAACCGACUUACGUUGAAAAGUGAGCGGAUGAACUGAGGGUAGCGGAGAAAUUCCAAUCGAACCUGGAGAUAGCUGGUUCUCUCCGAAAUAGCUUUAGGGCUAGCCUCAAGUGAUGAUUAUUGGAGGUAGAGCACUGUUUGGACAGGGGCCCUCUCGGGUUACCGAAUUCAGACAAACUCCGAAUGCCAAUUAAUUUAACUUGGGAGUCAGAACAUGGGUGAUAAGGUCCGUGUUCGAAAGGGAAACAGCCCAGACCACCAGCUAAGGUCCCAAAAUAUAUGUUAAGUGGAAAAGGAUGUGGCGUUGCCCAGACAACUAGGAUGUUGGCUUAGAAGCAGCCAUCAUUUAAAGAGUGCGUAAUAGCUCACUAGUCGAGUGACACUGCGCCGAAAAUGUACCGGGGCUAAACAUAUUACCGAAGCUGUGGAUUGUCCUUUGGACAAUGGUAGGAGAGCGUUCUAAGGGCGUUGAAGCAUGAUCGUAAGGACAUGUGGAGCGCUUAGAAGUGAGAAUGCCGGUGUGAGUAGCGAAAGACGGGUGAGAAUCCCGUCCACCGAUUGACUAAGGUUUCCAGAGGAAGGCUCGUCCGCUCUGGGUUAGUCGGGUCCUAAGCUGAGGCCGACAGGCGUAGGCGAUGGAUAACAGGUUGAUAUUCCUGUACCACCUAUAAUCGUUUUAAUCGAUGGGGGGACGCAGUAGGAUAGGCGAAGCGUGCGAUUGGAUUGCACGUCUAAGCAGUAAGGCUGAGUAUUAGGCAAAUCCGGUACUCGUUAAGGCUGAGCUGUGAUGGGGAGAAGACAUUGUGUCUUCGAGUCGUUGAUUUCACACUGCCGAGAAAAGCCUCUAGAUAGAAAAUAGGUGCCCGUACCGCAAACCGACACAGGUAGUCAAGAUGAGAAUUCUAAGGUGAGCGAGCGAACUCUCGUUAAGGAACUCGGCAAAAUGACCCCGUAACUUCGGGAGAAGGGGUGCUCUUUAGGGUUAACGCCCAGAAGAGCCGCAGUGAAUAGGCCCAAGCGACUGUUUAUCAAAAACACAGGUCUCUGCUAAACCGUAAGGUGAUGUAUAGGGGCUGACGCCUGCCCGGUGCUGGAAGGUUAAGAGGAGUGGUUAGCUUCUGCGAAGCUACGAAUCGAAGCCCCAGUAAACGGCGGCCGUAACUAUAACGGUCCUAAGGUAGCGAAAUUCCUUGUCGGGUAAGUUCCGACCCGCACGAAAGGCGUAACGAUUUGGGCACUGUCUCAACGAGAGACUCGGUGAAAUCAUAGUACCUGUGAAGAUGCAGGUUACCCGCGACAGGACGGAAAGACCCCGUGGAGCUUUACUGUAGCCUGAUAUUGAAAUUCGGCACAGCUUGUACAGGAUAGGUAGGAGCCUUUGAAACGUGAGCGCUAGCUUACGUGGAGGCGCUGGUGGGAUACUACCCUAGCUGUGUUGGCUUUCUAACCCGCACCACUUAUCGUGGUGGGAGACAGUGUCAGGCGGGCAGUUUGACUGGGGCGGUCGCCUCCUAAAAGGUAACGGAGGCGCUCAAAGGUUCCCUCAGAAUGGUUGGAAAUCAUUCAUAGAGUGUAAAGGCAUAAGGGAGCUUGACUGCGAGACCUACAAGUCGAGCAGGGUCGAAAGACGGACUUAGUGAUCCGGUGGUUCCGCAUGGAAGGGCCAUCGCUCAACGGAUAAAAGCUACCCCGGGGAUAACAGGCUUAUCUCCCCCAAGAGUUCACAUCGACGGGGAGGUUUGGCACCUCGAUGUCGGCUCAUCGCAUCCUGGGGCUGUAGUCGGUCCCAAGGGUUGGGCUGUUCGCCCAUUAAAGCGGUACGCGAGCUGGGUUCAGAACGUCGUGAGACAGUUCGGUCCCUAUCCGUCGUGGGCGUAGGAAAUUUGAGAGGAGCUGUCCUUAGUACGAGAGGACCGGGAUGGACAUACCUCUGGUGUACCAGUUGUCGUGCCAACGGCAUAGCUGGGUAGCUAUGUGUGGACGGGAUAAGUGCUGAAAGCAUCUAAGCAUGAAGCCCCCCUCAAGAUGAGAUUUCCCAACUUCGGUUAUAAGAUCCCUCAAAGAUGAUGAGGUUAAUAGGUUCGAGGUGGAAGCAUGGUGACAUGUGGAGCUGACGAAUACUAAUCGAUCGAAGACUUAAUCAA
RNAcentral lists this ribosomal RNA (2921 nucleotides) under Staphylococcus aureus. RNAcentral describes it as "23S ribosomal RNA". It matches the Rfam family "Bacterial large subunit ribosomal RNA". The record is from RNAcentral. Lineage: Bacteria; Bacillati; Bacillota; Bacilli; Caryophanales; Staphylococcaceae.